Helianthus annuus (common sunflower) is the source of this 1126-nucleotide long non-coding RNA. RefSeq lists it as uncharacterized. The record is from RefSeq and is a predicted model, not a curated record. Lineage: Eukaryota; Viridiplantae; Streptophyta; Magnoliopsida; Asterales; Asteraceae. The transcript has 3 exons.
AACACAAAAACCGCCGGUUCGAUUCCUCUCUUUCCACUUCCCUUUUUUUUGGAGGCCACGAUCUCAUAACACCAAAACACAGCUCUCCACCCCUACACUUUCAGAAUCCAGAUUCCAGAGGAGAGAAAGAAGCUGAGGAAAGGGAGGGUCUGCUAGAGAGAGAGACGGAGUAGGCUUCUGGCAGGCCUCCGGCGGCAGCAACGGUGGUUAAACGGUCCAAAUGAUGGUGGAUUCAAUUGACAUUAGGGUUCAGGUGUUUAGCAACGGCGAUGAUGGUGGAUCUAGAUAUUGAACACGGUGACGUUUGUUAGGGUUCCGCCGUACACGGCGGAGGAGAUGGUGGGUCACCGGCGCCAUCAUGGAGAUCCGCUGAUGAACCAGGAACCCGAACUCCGGUGGACGCAAUGAACAGUACAAAACAGUAUAUGAGGGCAAUAAAAAAGGUCUCCACCAGCACACCCCUGUUUAUCUUCUUCAUUUGGCAAAAGAGAAAGACAGGAAAGCCGAUCAAAUCCACCGCCCCGCCGCCGUCUGUGUCCUGUCGUUAAAAGGUUUCAAAGGACGACGGAAUGCCAAUGAACACAGAUCCGCCGCCCGCCGCCGCCUUUGUCCUGACGUUCCGGCCGUCGGUCAGUGAUGAAGGUCUCUGGUUCAGACGACGAUGGAUGGUGGCGAUGGUGGUCGAUCUGUGUAUCGUUGUCACGUUUAACAGCGAAUGGAGUGUCGCUGACCACCCACCUUAGACCAGCUUUGGUCGACUUGGUUCAGACUUUCUUCUCUUUUCUCUGGUACAAGUGAUUUAAGUACCAACAGAGAGAUUGAGAUUGCCUGAUCAUGGGUUUUUCCGAUUGGCUGUGAUGAGUUCAAAUUCUUUUUUCAAAAAUUGUUGAGGAUGGCGUGGCAAGGAUGAUGGAUGGUGAGUUUUGACCUGCAACCCGUCUUGCAGCCCUGAUUUUUGAAAGCUCUGAGCCACAGAAAACUCGAUUUUUGCUUGGGUUGAAGAUGAAUGUGAUGGAUUCGAUUGCUCCUCACUUAAAGCUACUCUUUAAAGAAUUGAUUAUUAUGGUUAUAACGGCAAAUGCAAUGGUGUGGAUGGGUGUUGGGUAGUCAUGGCUACUGUUUGAUC